Molecule: RNA transcript, 7617 nt
Organism: Malaya genurostris
Lineage: Eukaryota; Metazoa; Arthropoda; Insecta; Diptera; Culicidae
Exons: 3
Source: RefSeq, a predicted model, not a curated record
GUAUCCUAUUCAAAAAAUUUUUCUUCGAUUUUUGAAAGAAACCAAGAGAUUGUUUGUACAUAACAUACAGAAUAAAACAGUGCUUUGAUUGCGUAAGUCAUCCGCACUUCCGGCACCGGAACCCGAGAACCGGUAUAAUCAAAGUCGGUUCGUACGGCCACCAACUAACAUGACAUACAAACUCUACUAAUACGCACUCUGUUACGCAAUCUGCGAACGCACCUCCGCUACCAACGAACCGCAUACGGGACGCACGACCACUAUCACAAAGCGGGUUGGUAGAGAAACGUCAAAAAGAAAAAAAAAAAAAAAAAAGGAAGAGAAAGAAUCAGUGAAUAGCUUAUUUCUAAAUUACUUCUGAAAAUUUCUAAAUUGUGAAUUUGCGUAGUGCCUAGUUUAAAAUUAUAUUAGUAAGAGGUAAAAAUUAAUUGCUUAGUGCCUAGUUUAAAAUUGUAUUAUUAAGAGGUAAAAAUUAAUUAGAAACCUAGAUUAAAAAUACUAUUACUAACUAGUUUACAAACCUAACUUAUCACAGGUCGGAGCAUCACAGUUGGUGGUAUUAGCAACUAGUUAUUGCAGUUAUUAGUAAUUUAACUACCGUACGAUACCGCUUACCGGACAGAACGAAAAUCACAAGUAGACAGUAAACGUGAGUGAAGAAAACAUAAUUGAAUUAUACACUAAUUACAAAUAAUUGAUGAGUUAUUGUUCAUUAUAUACCAACAGGAAAAAUUUAACAUCAUUCUACAAUAAACCAACAUUGUCAAACAAAGUUCGGCGUAGUCAAUAAAGUAGUUUAAAUUUUCGGAAAUUCCGUCUUGUUGCCGUCUCGGGAACAAAUUAAAUUUUUCGUUUAAUUUCGGAAUGUCAAGUGGUAGCGUAGCGAGUGCUGGGAAACGUCCCCAGAAUGAUGAUAAUUCUCCUGGUGGGGAGGGGGCGAGUUGUGGAGCGUGUCGCCGUGUCGAUACUAGUCGAAUGGUGCAGUGUGACGAAUGUGACGUGUGGUUUCACUAUGAUUGUGUAGACGUAGACGACCAUAUCGGGGAUCGUGACUGGAGCUGUAAUAGAUGCAUGAGGAAAUCUCUGGAGAAGCAGCAGCGUAUAUUGAGAGAGCAGUUCGAACAUUUUGAACAGCGAAUGAAGCAGUGGCAACAAGGGCAACAGAAUCCCCCAAGGCAGAUAGAGGAACAGCAGGAGCAUGCACAGCGGCAGAAGCAGCCGGAGCUGCAGCAGCGGAUGCAUGAGCAGUUCGAUCAGUCGCAGAUAGGGAAGUUGCAGUUGCAACAGCAGAAUUUGCCGUCAGAAAUGGCAACGGGAGUACCUCAAAUAUCGCUUGGUGCUAUUCCGAAGCAACAGCAGCAAGUCCAGUGUAUGGAUAAUGUCGAGUCGACGAGACAAGGUCGUGCGAAACCGUUGGCGAACUCUACCGUCAACAACGAAAGUGAGAAAGCAUGCUCAAAGUCGUCAAAGCAUUCUACGAAGCGACGAGAAUUGCAACUGAAGGCCCUGGCGGCGAGACAAGCGUUGGAGAAAAAGCAGCUAGAAGAGCGGCUGGAAUUGGAACGCGAGAUGUUGGAGACUAGUGACUCCGAGUCGGAAUCAGCCGCGAGUUUCAGUAAAAUCAGCGAAUGGAUAGAGACGACCGACAAUAUCGGAAAGAAUCUUGGAAAAUCGAACCAGGAUACUCCACUGCCGGUUUACAGCGAACUUCUACGGAAAUCGGUGGCACCUACAAAGCCGAUCAAUCUUCAUGGCGAUUGGGGUCCAAUCAGGCCAUCUAAUAUACGGUUUGGAGCUGGUCACUUCCCGUUUCCGUAUAUCGCAUCGCAACAAGAGGGCGAGAGCUACGUUCCAGAUAGCAGAAACAUCGCACAACCCCGAGUGGCUACGUCGGCUUCGCGGCCAAAUCCGGCCAUCUAUCGUCCACAGGCACAACGGCAACUAAGCAACGAUCAGUUACCGCUUAACAGCGGCCACCUAGCGGCCAGACAAACGGUAAAGGACUUGCCAAAGUUCGGAGGAGAUCCGGAAGAUUGGCCUAGAUUCAUUGCAGCCUACGAGCGAACUUCCAGAAUGUGCGCCUUUCGGAAUGAUGAGCUGCUCGAUCGGCUGGAAAGAAGUCUGCAAGACAAGGCACUCUGCACUGUCAAAAGCCUACUGCUGCAUCCCGAUAACGUUCCAGUGAUCAUGAACAGGCUGAAAACUCUCUUCGGGAAUCCAGAAUUGAUAGUAGAGACCAUGGUUCGGCGGAUUCGCAUGAUGCCACCGCCGAAAGCAGAUAAGAUGGAGACGAUUGUCGACUUCGGUGUUGCAGUUCAGAACCUGUGCGCAACUAUCCAGGUGUGCCAGAUGGAUGAACGGUUAUAUAAUGUCGCACUUCUUCAGGAGCUUGUUGACAGUCUGCCGUCGGCAUUGAAAAUGAAAUGGGCCUUCUAUCGGAAGGAGAUUAGAACUGCUACUCUGUUAGAGUUCAAUGAAUGGCUGGGUGAGAUGGUAGAAACCCUGAGUCAGGUGAUAAGGCCCACUGUAUGGACCAAGCCACAGAAAGCUGAGCAGAAAACGGAGCGGAGGGUGCGAAAGGAAGAAGUAUAUCUUCACACGCAUACAACGCAUUCGUCGGAUCAAGUAGAUCGCAAAGGAUGUUUGGCUUGCGGAAACGAGUGCAGUUCUCUCGACAAGUGCGGCAGUUUUCUCAAGAUGUCUCCAAGUGCACGAUGGGCGUUAGUGAACGUGAAGAAGGUUUGUCGCAAGUGUUUGAACAAGCACUUCAAAACCUGCGAAAGGAAAGUUCCCUGCGGUGUUCAGGGAUGUGCCUUUCUACAUCACCGGCUGUUGCAUAACGACAGCAAACAUAAUAAGCCGUCAAUUAGCCAUUCUACACAAGCUGCUUCGAUUAAUGCGCACCACAGUUCACUGGAACGCACGUUUUUGAAGUAUAUUAGCGUUACAGUUCACGGAAAAGGGAGCUCGAUUUCUACCUACGCCUUCCUCGAUGCGGGAUCGACUUCUACACUUAUGGAGCAUAGCCUAUGGGAGGAACUAAACCUUGACGGUGAAAGAGCUCCGCUGUGUAUUUCGUGGACUGGCGGACAAGGAAGAUAUGAAGAUGAUUCGGUAGUAUUUUCGGUGGAGGUUACCGGUGAACGAACUCCAGGAUUACGCUUCAAUCUUCAAGAUGUACAUACCGUGCGAAGUCUGGAUCUUCCAUCACAGUCAAUGUCAGCAACAGAGUUAGCCGAGCAUUUCGGAUAUCUCUCAGAUAUUCCAAUUGAGUCGUACGCCGAUGUGAAACCUCGAAUUCUGCUAGGAGUUGACAACUCCAGACUAGAGUAUCCACUCGACUCUAGAGAAGGUAGCGAAAAUCAGCCAACGGCGGUGUUGACCCGACUAGGAUGGGUAGUCUACGGUCCGUGCUCGAUGUCUGGACGACCAAAACCGACGGACGUUUCAUACAGUUACCAUAUCUGCCAAUGCGAUGGGUUACACUCAGCCGUCAAGAACUACUUUUCAAUUGACGGUCUCGGUAUUCAACUCACCGGGAAGCCACUGAUGUCGAAGGACGAUGAACGUGCGAUUCAGCUGUUGCAGACCAAGACAUUGUUCAAGAACGGAAGGUAUGAAACCGGUCUACUAUGGCGAUACGACGAAGUCCGGCUUCCAGAAAGCAAAGCCAUGGCCUUAAGACGGCACGAAUGUUUGAGCAAACGAAUGGCUCGAGAACCACAGCUCGCGAAAGCCCUGCAGGAGAAAAUUCUCGAUUAUCGGACAAAGGGAUAUAUCCGAAUGCUAACGACAGAGGAGGAAGCAGUACACAAGGGGCGCUCGUGGUACCUUCCGAUCUUUCCGGUAGUAAACCCUAACAAACCUGGUAAGCUGCGAAUAGUUUGGGACGCUGCCGCGAAAGUAGGGAACCUCUCCCUCAAUUCGUUUCUGCUCAAAGGUCCCGACCAAGUUACACCUCUUCAACAAGUUCUGCAGCGGUUUCGCGAACAUCGUACUGCAGUCUCGGGAGACAUACGGGAGAUGUUCCACCAAGUACGGAUCAACCCCAACGAUCAGCAUUGCCAGCGCUUCCUGUGGAAUGAUGGUGUAUCCGGGAGUGUUCCAUCGACCUACGUGAUGGAGGUAAUGACAUUUGGUGCAAGCUGCUCGCCAAGCAGCGCACAGUAUGUCAAGAACCUUAACGCAGAACGAUUCAAAGAUGAAUAUCCGGAAGCAGUCGAGGCGAUAGGCGAAGGGACGUAUGUCGAUGAUAUGCUGUACAGCGUCGAAACUGAAGAUGAAGCGGUGAAACUUGCGCAGGAUGUACGAAACAUACACGCGAAGGGUGGCUUCGAGAUCCGAGGAUGGUUGUCCAAUUCGAAGAAGGUGCUAGAUGCCAUGGGUGAGCAGAGGAUUGAACAAAAGGAUCUAAACAAAACCGGAGAGCUAGCAACCGAGAAAGUCCUGGGAAUGUGGUGGGAUACAACCAACGAUACCUUCACAUUCAAGAUACCUAAGCGAUGCGAGCAGAGACUGCUAUUCGGGGAGCAAGUUCCUACGAAAAGGGAAGUACUUCGAGUCCUAAUGUCGGUGUAUGAUCCACUUGGACUCCUGGCAAACGUGAUGAUGUUUCUCAAAGUUCUUCUGCAAGAGAUUUGGCGAUCAUGCAUAGGAUGGGACGAACCGAUAACCGAUCAGCAAUUCGUACAAUGGAAAACGUGGCUUGGCGUGUUGCAUACCGUGGAACAAGUCUCCAUCCCGCGAUGCUAUCGAAUGAUAACCAGCUGCUCAAGCAAAACCAACGAUACUCAGCUGCACGUGUUUGUCGACGCCAGCGAAAAGGGCUACGCAGCAGUCGCCUAUUUCCGGUUCGAAGAAAAAAAAUCUAUUGAAUGCGCCUUCGUUACGGCGAAAACUCGUGUCGCUCCCCUAAAGUACGUCUCGAUUCCUCGGCUGGAGCUUCAAGCUGCCGUGAUCGGAACCCGCCUGGCAAAUUCAGUUUGCGAAACUCAUAAGGUUCCCGUACGGAAACGGUUCCUGUGGACCGAUUCGAGGGACGUGCUCUGCUGGCUACGUUCGGAUCACAGGAAGUACAGCAAAUUCGUCGGUGCUAGAGUAGGUGAAAUCCUGGAAAGCACGGAACAGUCAGAGUGGCUAUGGGUUCCAACAAAGGAGAAUGUGGCUGAUGAGGGCACAAAGUGGCAGAAGAUCCCUGAUCUCUCUCCAUCAAGUCGAUGGUUUAAGGGUCCAGCAUUUUUGUGGCAGCAGCAGAGGGACUGGCCAGUUCAACCGGCAAAUCACGGCGUCGCUACGAACGAAAUAAUCGCUUCGGUCAACGUCCACGCAACUUGCGAACCUGUCAUCAGCUUUGUCAGAUAUUCCAACUGGCGGAAACUCCUACGGGUCACUGCCUAUGUGCUACGAUUUGUGCGCAACGUUCGAGCUAGGGUAAAGCAGCAUACACAAUCUACGGGAGCCCUCGAGCAACCGGAGCUGUUAGAAGCGGAAUGUUGCAUUUAUCGUCAGGUUCAACUCGAUGCAUUCAGUGAGGAAGUAUCACUGUUAAAGUGUACUGACGAUAUAACAAGGCAGAACAUAAUCCAGCUGCCCAAAAGCAGCUCGCUCUACAAACUUUCUCCGUUCCUUGACACACAUGGGGUGCUUCGAAUGCGGGGACGUACUGCCGGAUGUCAGUUUAUCAAUGAUAACGCUGGGCAUACUAUCCUGUUGCCAAAGGAUCAUCCGGUUACCUCCCUUAUCAUACAGUACGUUCACGAGCGCUACCAUCAUCUCAACCACGAAACUACAGUUAACGAACUGCGUCAAAAGUAUCGCAUUGCAAAGCUGAGGACCAUCUGCAACAAAGUUCGCCGUUCAUGCCAGUACUGCAAGAACUCCAGAGCCCGACCUCAGCCGCCUGUUAUGGCCGAUCUUCCGCCUGCUCGCCUAGCCGCUUAUACGCGACCAUUUUCCUACGCAGGCAUCGACUACUUUGGACCGAUGCAAGUUGUUGUGGGUAGACGGACUGAGAAGAGAUGGGGUGUGCUAAUCACCUGUCUGGUGAUACGCGCUAUCCACAUAGAACUCGCGCACUCACUAAACACCAGUUCCUGUGUUAUGGCCCUACGGAACUUCAUGGCCAGAAGAGGUACUCCCUUAGAAUUAUACAGCGAUAGGGGGACGAAUUUUGUCGGAGCCAAUCGGGAACUCACCGAAGCGGUUCAGAAUCUGAACCAGAAUCAGCUCAUGAAAGAAUUCGUAACACCGGAUACCAAGUGGACUUUUCUUCCUCCAAGUAGUCCUCACAUGGGAGGAUGUUGGGAGAGAAUGGUGCAAUCCGUUAAGAAGGUGUUGAACAACAUGCAGCUUCCAAGAACCCCUACCGAUGAAGUUCUCCGUAAUUUCCUGCUAGAAGCUGAAAACAUCGUAAACUCUCGCCCCCUCACCUACGUUCCUGUCGAAGAUUCCGAAAGUGAAGCACUGACGCCCAACCACUUUUUAUUGGGCUCUUCCGGUGGCACAAAACCCUUGGUGCCUUAUGAUGAUAGCCUCGCCACGCUUAAAAAUAGUUGGAAAGCUUCCCAGAUCUACGCGAAUAUCUUCUGGAAACGGUGGUUACGCGAAUAUCUGCCGACAAUCAGCCGACGAACGAAAUGGCACUAUCCAGUGAAACCCAUCCAGGUCGGCGAUGUCGUCCUAGUCGUGGACCCGGACUUACCUAGAAACUCGUGGCCAUUGGGACGGGUGAUAGACGUAAAUAAAAGGAACGGGCAAGUACGUAGUGCAACAGUACAAACGCGAUUCAACAUCUACGAACGUCCAGCGGUCAAGCUUGCGGUUCUGGACGUCGGCGCAUCGGAAAGUACUCAGGGACAUCGAGCCUGUGUACUGGGGGGGAAUGUUACGCAAUCUGCGAACGCACCUCCGCUACCAACGAACCGCAUACGGGACGCACGACCACUAUCACAAAGCGGGUUGGUAGAGAAACGUCAAAAAGAAAAAAAAAAAAAAAAAAGGAAGAGAAAGAAUCAGUGAAUAGCUUAUUUCUAAAUUACUUCUGAAAAUUUCUAAAUUGUGAAUUUGCGUAGUGCCUAGUUUAAAAUUAUAUUAGUAAGAGGUAAAAAUUAAUUGCUUAGUGCCUAGUUUAAAAUUGUAUUAUUAAGAGGUCGGAGCAUCACAGUUGGUGGUAUUAGCAACUAGUUAUUGCAGUUAUUAGUAAUUUAACUACCGUACGAUACCGCUUACCGGACAGAACGAAAAUCACAAGUAGACAGUAAACGAAAAAUUUAACAUCAUUCUACAAUAAACCAACAUUGUCAAACAAAGUUCGGCGUAGUCAAUAAAGUAGUUUAAAUUUUCGGAAAUUCCGUCUUGUUGCCGUCUCGGGAACACACUCUAAAUUACGAUUUAAAUGUUUGUCACAUCCGAAAAUAUGCAGUAAUUUUUGGUAGGACCAUAAGACGAUUCAAUUGACCCUAAGAUUGGGAAUAACGGUUUAGAGUCCAGUUUAUAACAUUUUUUACGGUUUUCGUUCCGCCAGUUUAAGUGACGGUGUACAAUACUGAACACACUUUACCCUAUAACUCCGGAACCGGAAGUCGGAUCCGGAUGAAGUUCAGUAAUUCCGUAUGGGAC